RNAcentral lists this ribosomal RNA (392 nucleotides) under uncultured Gammaproteobacteria bacterium. Its description in RNAcentral is "bacterial SSU rRNA". It matches the Rfam family "Bacterial small subunit ribosomal RNA", at positions 370 to 779 of the family's 1533-position model. The record is from RNAcentral. Lineage: Bacteria; Pseudomonadati; Pseudomonadota; Gammaproteobacteria.
AAUGGGGGCAACCCUGAUCCAGCCAUGCCGCGUGAGUGAAGAAGGCCCUAGGGUCGUAAAACUCUUUCGCCUGUGAUGAUAAUGACAGUAGCAGGUAAAGAAACCCCGGCUAACUCCGUGCCAGCAGCCGCGGUAAUACGGAGGGGGUUAGCGUUGUUCGGAAUUACUGGGCGUAAAGCGCACGUAGGCGGAUUAGAAAGUUAGAGGUGAAAUCCCGGGGCUCAACCCCGGAACUGCCUUUAAAACUACUAGUCUAGAGUUCGAGAGAGGUGAGUGGAAUUCCGAGUGUAGAGGUGAAAUUCGUAGAUAUUCGGAGGAACACCAGUGGCGAAGGCGGCUCACUGGCUCGAUACUGACGCUGAGGUGCGAAAGUGUGGGGAGCAAACAGGAUC